Molecule: non-coding RNA, 21 nt
Filed under: Caenorhabditis elegans
Lineage: Eukaryota; Metazoa; Nematoda; Chromadorea; Rhabditida; Rhabditidae
Source: RNAcentral
UUACUCUUCCAAUGGUGUGUG